AAAAAAAAAAAGUGGUUCACCCAGGGCGAGGCUCAGCCAUUGCACUCCAGUUGUGCUGACCCCUGCGAAUUCCCAAAUGUGGGAAUCUCGACUGCAUAAUUUGUGGUAGUGGGGGACUGCGUUCGCGCUCUCCCCUG
Sparus aurata (gilthead seabream) is the source of this 137-nucleotide small nuclear RNA. Its record names the gene U1. It matches the Rfam family "U1 spliceosomal RNA". From Rfam's summary of the family: U1 is a small nuclear RNA (snRNA) component of the spliceosome (involved in pre-mRNA splicing). Its 5' end forms complementary base pairs with the 5' splice junction, thus defining the 5' donor site of an intron. Lineage: Eukaryota; Metazoa; Chordata; Actinopteri; Spariformes; Sparidae. The record is from Ensembl.